GAUGAACGCUAGCGGGAGGCCUAACACAUGCAAGCCGAGCGGUAGAGUUUCUUCGGAAACUUGAGAGCGGCGCACGGGUGCGUAACACGUGUGCAACCUACCUUUAUCUGGGGGAUAGCCUUUCGAAAGGAAGAUUAAUACCCCAUAAUAUAAUGAUUGUCAUCAAUUAUUAUUGAAAACUCCGGUGGAUAGAGAUGGGCACGCGCAAGAUUAGAUAGUUGGUGAGGUAACGGCUCACCAAGUCAAUGAACUUUAGGGGUCCUGAGGGGGAGAUCCCCCACACUGGAACUGAGACACAGACCAGAAUCCUACGGAAGGGAGCAGAAAGGAACACUAGACAAUGGGGGAUGGCCUGAUCCAGCCAUCCCGCGUGAAGGAGGACGGUCCUAUGGAAUGUAAACUUCUUUUGUACAGGGAUAAACCUACCCACGUGAGGGUAGCUGAAGGUACUGUACGAAUAAGCACCGGCUAACUCCGUG
RNAcentral lists this ribosomal RNA (479 nucleotides) under uncultured bacterium. Its description in RNAcentral is "partial 16S ribosomal RNA". It matches the Rfam family "Bacterial small subunit ribosomal RNA", at positions 28 to 507 of the family's 1533-position model. The record is from RNAcentral.